GUCCUCUUGAUUUUAAUUUGAGGUUUAACCUGCCCACUGAAAUAUUUAAAUGGCCGCAGUAAUUUGACUGUGCAAAGGUAGCAUAAUCAUUAGUUUUUUAAUUAAAAGCUUGUAUGAAGGGUUGGACGAGGUAAAAUCUGUCUCUAUUUAAUUUAUAAUAAAAUUUAAUUUUUAAGUUAAAAAGCUUAAAUAAUAUUAAAAGACGAGAAGACCCUAUAGAUCUUUAUAUUAUUUAAAUUAAUUUUAAUAUAGAAUUAUUUAUUUUUUAAUUUAAAUAAUAUUUUAUUGGGGUAAUAAAAAGAUUAAAAAAAUUCUUUUUAAAGUUUACAUUGAUAUAUGAUUAAGUGAUCCAAUUUUUUUGAUUAAAAGAUUAAGUUACCUUAGGGAUAACAGCGUAAUUUUUUUGAAGAGUUCAUAUCGAUAAAAAAGUUUGCGA
RNAcentral lists this ribosomal RNA (436 nucleotides) under Graphoderus bieneri. RNAcentral's name for it is "partial 16S ribosomal RNA". Lineage: Eukaryota; Metazoa; Arthropoda; Insecta; Coleoptera; Dytiscidae. The record is from RNAcentral.